GAUUGAACGCUAGCGGGAUGCCUUACACAUGCAAGUCGAACGGCAGCGGGAAGAAAGCUUGCUUUCUUUGCCGGCGAGUGGCGAACGGGUGAGUAAUGUAUCGGAACGUGCCCAGUAGCGGGGGAUAACUGGCCGAAAGGUCAGCUAAUACCGCAUACGCCCUACGGGGGAAAGGGGGGGAUUCUUCGGAACCUCUCACUAUUGGAGCGGCCGAUAUCGGAUUAGCUAGUUGGUGGGGUAAUGGCCUACCAAGGCGACGAUCCGUAGCUGGUUUGAGAGGACGACCAGCCACACUGGGACUGAGACACGGCCCAGACUCCUACGGGAGGCAGCAGUGGGGAAUUUUGGACAAUGGGGGAAACCCUGAUCCAGCCAUCCCGCGUGUGCGAUGAAGGCCUUCGGGUUGUAAAGCACUUUUGUCAGGGAAGAAAAGGUUCUGGCUAAUACCCGGAACUGAUGACGGUACCUGAAGAAUAAGCACCGGCUAACUACGUGCCAGCAGCCGCGGUAAUACGUAGGGUGCAAGCGUUAAUCGGAAUUACUGGGCGUAAAGCGUGCGCAGGCGGUUCGGAAAGAAGGAUGUGAAAUCCCAGGGCUCAACCUUGGAACUGCAUUCUUAACUACCGAACUAGAGUAUGUCAGAGGGGGGUAGAAUUCCGCGUGUAGCAGUGAAAUGCGUAGAUAUGCGGAGGAAUACCGAUGGCGAAGGCAGCCCCCU
This 718-nucleotide ribosomal RNA is filed under the name Advenella sp. RNAcentral describes it as "bacterial SSU rRNA". It matches the Rfam family "Bacterial small subunit ribosomal RNA", at positions 27 to 730 of the family's 1533-position model. Lineage: Bacteria; Pseudomonadati; Pseudomonadota; Betaproteobacteria; Burkholderiales; Alcaligenaceae. The record is from RNAcentral.